RNAcentral lists this long non-coding RNA (208 nucleotides) under Prunus persica (peach). Its description in RNAcentral is "long non-coding RNA (PPER_LNC001926)". The record is from RNAcentral. Lineage: Eukaryota; Viridiplantae; Streptophyta; Magnoliopsida; Rosales; Rosaceae.
UCCAAAUUAAUUGUUUAAGUAAAAAAAGUUGUGAAAAAAAUAAAAAAAUGAAUAGUAUUUGCCAUGGCAAGUCUAAACUGCUGGAAACACACUUUGCUGAAGGGGGCUAGGGCAGCCACUAUUUACGUGAAUAGUAGCUGCCCUAAGAGCACUUUCACCAGUUGACUCUUGCCAUGGCAAGAUUAGCCCUAGGGCAGGCACUAUUCAC